CUGGAUUCAGGUCAUGGCCUCACAAACUGACCAGGCUGCCCAGGUGUGAGCCUGCCGGAGGACUCUGGAAGGUGGGGGUGGUCGGAAUGCUUGAGCUCAGGAGUUGGAGACCCACCUGGGCAACACAGCCCGUCUUUACAAAAAGUUUAAAAUUAGUCGAGCCUGGUGGUGGGAGCCUGAGGUCCCAGCUACUCAGGAGGCUGAGGUGGGAUGAUCACCUGAGCCCAGAAGGUGGAGGCUGCAGUGAACGGAGACUGCACUCCAGCCUGUGCAAGGGGAACUCCGUCUCAAAAAAAAAAAGCAUGCUCUCCUCUGAUUCAGCUCCUCCUCUCUGAUGUGAAAUCCUUUCAGAUGGAACGUGUUGAAGUCACAGACAUGCUGCUCGCCCCACCCACAGAGUGCAAUCAAGUCUUAGUUUGUCCUUUUGUCCCUUUAACAUUUGCCCAGCAGAGACCGUCUUCCCCUGCUCAGUGGAAAACUCCAGACAUCACAGACCCUUCUGCUCCCUCUCUGGUUAAAGGGCAUCCUGAGGGCCACAUUAAGUCACAAAACAUCAUUUUGAUUCAGGAACCAGAAGUCCAAGAUUUCAAUCAACACUUUCAUCUGCUAUUUAGUCAACUUCAUGGAGAUCUACUUUACAUACAAUAAACCACAUCCGUGUAAAGUACACAAGCGGUCGGAGGAUUUUCCACUGUGUUGGCCAAACGUCACCGCCUUUGCCCAUCACCUGCCAGUGGGUGCCUGGGCUGCUCCCAGUUCCUGGUGACUGGAUGGAGCUGCGGCCAAGGUCCUGGCACAUGUCAUCAUGUGGACAUCUGUCUUCAUUUCUCUUGGGAGCAGAGUGGCUGGCUCACAGGGAGGUGCACGUUUAACUUUCUAAGGAACUGCAGCCGUCUUCCACAGUGGCUGUGCUGUAUACCCUCCCACUGGCGAUGUGGGUGCACGCAGGGUGUCCGUGCAUGUGCAGGAGUAUCUCUGUGUCGUUACAAUCUGCAUUUCCCUGAAGACUAAUGAUGGCAUCUUUCCAUGUGUUUAUUAGCCACUUAUAUAUCUUCUUUCUGAAGUGCCUACUCACAUCUUCUGCCCAUUUUGUUUAAUUGGGUGGAGUUGCAACAUAUACCUUUUUUUUUUUGGCAGGGGUGGGGGGCAUAGGGUUUCACUCUGUUGCCCAGGCUGGAGUGCAGUAGUGGGAUCGUGGCUCACUGCAGCCUUGACCUCCAGGGCUUACGCGAUACUCCUACAUCAGCCUCCCGAGUAGCUGAGACUACAGGUGCAUGCUGCCAUGUUGACCUCCGGGGCUUAAGUGAUCCUCCUACCUCAGCCUCUCGAGUAGCUGAGACUAGAGGUGUGCGUCACCACCACGCUCAGCUAAAACACAUAUUCUUCAUCAGACUUAUGUAUUGCAAAUAUUUUCUUCCAUCCUGUGGUUUGUCUUAUCAUCUUUUUUUUUUUGAAUUGGAGUCUCUGUCGCCCAGGCUGGAGUGCAGUGGCGUGAUCUCAGUUCACUGCAAGCCCCGCCUUCUGGGUUCACACCAUUCUCCUGCCUCAGCCUCCUGAGUAGCUGGGACUACAGGUGCCCGCCACCACGCCCGGCUAAUUUUUUGUAUUUUUAGUAGAGACGGGGUUGCACCAUGUUGGCCAGGAUGGUCUCGAUCUCCUGACUUUGUGAUCCGCCUGCCUUGGCCUCCCAAAGUGCUAGGAUUACAGGCAUGAGCCACCUUGCCCGGCCCCCGUCUUAUCAUUUUUUUAUGGACAUCUUUUGAAGAGCAAAUGUUUUUAAUUUUAAUGAAAUUUUUAAUAAAAUUGAAUGCAUCCAUUUUUCCUUUUGUGGUUCUUGUUUUUUAUGUCCUAAGAAAUCUCUGCCUUGACCUCAUGGUCACUAAGAUUUACUGCUUUCUUCCAGAAGUGUUACAGUUUUAGCUUUUGCAUUCUGAGUCACCUUUGUGUAUGGUGAAAUGCAGGUCAAGCGUCAUUUCUUUCCUUAUGUAUAAACAGUUGCUAAAAAGACUUUUCUUUCCAUGUGGAAUUACGUUGACAUCUUCAUUGAAAAUCAAUGGACUAUAGAGGUGGGGUCUAUUUCCAGUCUUUCUAUUCUGUUCCACUCACCUGUGUGUCUAUUCUUCAGGGACACUGCGGCUGACUGGAUUACUGAAGCUGUAAGUAGAAUAGAAACUUUGAAAUCAGGGCACGUAUCAGCUCCACUUUGAUUAAUUGCUUUGGCAAUUCCAGGUCACAUGUGUUUCCAUUUUAGACUCAUUGUGUCAAUUCCUACAAAAAAGCCUGCUGCGAUUUUGACUGGCAGAGCCGAUGUUUUAACAGGAUUGAGUCUUUUCAUCACGGACAUGCUGUCUCUCUUCAUCCCUCCGCAUCUUCUUCAAUUUAUCUCAGCAGUGUUUAUAGUUUUCAGUGAACAGGUCUUGUAUAUCUUUUGUUAAGAUAAUUACUAAGAUUUUACUUUUUGUUAUUACAAAUAGAAUGUAAUUUCUGAUUUCAUGUUCCGAUAGUUUGCUGCUACUAUAUAACGAUAAACUUUGCACCUUAGCCUUGAUAUCUGAAAUCUUGCUAAAUUCACUUAAUAGUUCUAGCAAUUCUCUGUAGCUUUCUUAGGACCCUCUGCAUAAAUAAUCAUGUCAUCUACAAAUAAAUACAGUUUACUUCUUCCUUUCUAAUCCUUGUGACUUCAAUUUGCCUUUUUUCUUACCUUAUUGCAGUGGCUGGGACUUUGAGUAUAAUGUUGGACAGAAGAGUGAGAAUGGGUGUCAUCCUUGUUCUUGAUUUUAGGGAUAAAAUGCUCAAUAUUUCGCCAUCAAAAGUACAACGUCUAGUGUAGGUUUUUCAUAGAUGUUCAUUUAUCAGACUCAGGGAGUUUCCUUCUAUUCUUAGUUUACUGAGGUUUUUUUAAAAAAAUCAUAAAACAGGUAUAAAUGUUUCCAAAUGUCUUUUCUGCAUCUAUUUCAGUGAUCAUCCUUUCCUUCUUUAUUCUAGUAAUAUGGUGACGACAAAGAUUCAUUUAUGAAUCAAAACAACCUUGUAUCACUAGGAUAAACCACACUUGGCCGAGGUGUACUGCCCUCUUAGGCUAUUGUUGGAUUUCACCUGCCAAUACCUUCGUAAGGAUUUUUGCCUGUGUUCAUGAAGGAUAGUGGUCUAUAAUUUUUUUUAGGUGUCUUUGUCAGGUUUUGGUAUUGGAUUAUAUUGCCUCAUAAAACAAGCUGGGAAAUAGGCCCUCCUUUUUUUAAAGAGAGACAGGGUCUCACUCUGUUGCCAGGCUGGAGUGUAGUGGUGCGAUCAUGGCUCACUGCCGCCUUGAGCUCCUGGGAUCAAGGGAUCCUCCCACCUCAGCCUCCCAAGUAGCUGGGGCUACAGGUAUAAUUUUUUUUGUACACAGGGUCUCACUAUAUUGUCCAGGCUGGUCUCGAACUCCUGGCCUCAGGUGAUCCUCCUGCCUCAGCCUCCCAAAGUGCUGGGAUUACACGUGGGAGCCACAGCACCCGUUCCCCCUCCUCUUUUAUUUUCUGAAAGAGUUUGUGUAAGAAUAUUGUGAUUUCUUCUUUGAAUGUUUGAUAGAAUUCACCAGGAAACCAUGUAUAUUUGCAGGAGUUUUCUUGGUAGGUAGGUUCUCCGGUAAUUAAUUCAAUUUCCUGAACAGAAAGAGGACCAUGCAGAUUUCCAUUGCUUUUGACAAGUUAUAUUCUUCCAAGAGUUUAUCCAUUGCAUUGAAAUUGCUACAUUUACUGGCCUAAAAUUGUUCAUCAUAGUCUCCUAUUAUUUUGAGACAUGGCCUCACUCUGUCACCCAGGCUGGAGCAAAGUGGUGUGACCUCAGCUCACCACAGCCUCAGUCUCCCAGGCCCAGGCCAUCCUCCCACCUCAGCCUCCCAAGUAGCUGGAACACAAGCAAGUGCUGCCACACCUGGCUAAUUUUUUGAUUUUUUGUAGAGACAGGGUCUCGCUAUGAAACAAAACUGAAGCAUGAUGUUGCUGGUCUUGAACUCCUGGGCUCAAACAAUCCUCCUGCCUCGGUCUCCCAAAGUGCUGGGAUUACAGGUGUGAGCCACCAGAGAUGGCAAUAGUCUAUUACUAUGUCUAUAGGAUCCUUAGAAAUAAUGCCUCUUUUGUUCUUGAUAUUGGUGAUUUGUGCUAUCUGUUUCUUUUGAGACCGAGUCUCACUCUGUUGCCCAGGCUGGAGUGCAGUGGCAUGAUCUCGGCUCACUGCAACCUCUGCCUCCCGGGUUCAAGCGAUUCUUGUGCCUCAGCCUCCUGAGCAGCUGGGAUUACAGGCACCCACCACCAUGCCUGGCUAAUUUUUGUAUUUUUAGUAGAGACAGGGUUUCACCAUGUUGGCCAGCCUGGUCUCACUUCUGACCUCAAGUGAUCCGCCCACCUUGGCAUCCCAAAGUGCUGGGAUUACAAGUGUGAGCCACCGUGCUUGGCCUAUCUUUCUAUUUGUUUGUUUGCUUUUCAAACAGGUCUCUCUCUGUCGCCUGGGCUGGAGUGCAGUGGUGUGAUCACAGUUCACUGCAGCCUCAACCUCCUGGGCUCAAGCGAUCCUCCCACCUCAGCCUUCUGACUAGCCAGGACUACAGGCUCGAGCCACCACACCCAGCUCAUUAAAUUUUUUUUUUUUUUUUUUUGUAGAGAUGGGGUCUCCUUCUGAUUCCCAGGCUGGUCUUAAACUCCUGGGUUCAAGCAGUCCUCCCACCUAUGCCUCCCAAAGUGCUGGGAUUACAGGCGUGAACCACCCACCUCACCUGGCUCUUUCUUCUUUCUUAAAAUUGACCAUUCUUAGUAGAGGUUUGUCAAUCUUUCCAAUCUUUUAGGGAAAAAAUCAGCUUUUGAUAUUGUUAAGUUUCUCCAUUUUUCUCAUGCUUUCUAUGCCACUGAUUUCUGUAUUUGUCUUUAUUUCCCUUUUUUGGCUUUGUUCUUUUUUCCCUGGCUUCUGGGAGUGAAUCUUAGGUCUCUGCUUUCAUGCCUUUACACGCACUUAGUUACAGAGUUCUAAGUAUUGCUUUAGCUACACCAACAAUUUUGAUGUUAUAUUUUCAUUAUUAUUCAGUUGGAAAUAUUUUUUCUUCUUCUGUUAUUUUUUCCCCACCUGAGUUACAAAUUUUUUUUUUUUGAAACAGUCUCGCUCUGUCACCCAGGCUGGAGUGCAGUGGUGCGAUCUUGGCUCACUGCCAGCUCCACCUCUAGGGUUUUUAAGCAAUUCUCUGCCCCAGCCGCCCGAGUAGCUGGGAUUACAGGUGUGCACCACCACGCCCAGCUAAUUUUUUAAACUUUUAGUAGAGAUGGGGUUUCACCAUGCUGGCCAGGAUAGUCUUGAACUCCUGUCCUUCUGAUCCACCCACCUCGACCUCCCAAAGUGCAGGGAUUACAUGUGUGAGCCACUGCGCCUGGCCCCAGCCUGGAAAUAUUUUCUAAUUUCCCAUUUGAGUUCUUCUUUGACCCAUGGUUUAUUCAAUAGUGGGUUAAUUUCCAAACAUUUGAGUUUUUCCUAUUUUAUUUGUGGUUGAUUUCUAAUUUAAUUCCUCUGUGCUCAGAAAGCAUACUUUGUAUGAUUCUUUUAAAAUUCGUUGGAACUUGUUUUAGGACACAGCAGUUGGUCUGUGUUGGAAAAUGUAUCAUGUGCACUUAGGAGUAUUGGCGUAACUUUUUCUUUUUGUUUUUGAGAAGAGUUUUGCUCUUCUUGCCCAGGCUGGGGUGCAGUGGCACGAUCUCGGGUCACUCCGUCUUUUGGGUUCACACCAUUCUCCUGCCUCAGCCUCCCGAGGAGCUGGGAUUACAGCUGCCCGCCACCACGUCCAGCGAAUUUUUGUAUUUUUAGUAUAGAUGGGGUUUCGCCAUGUUGGCUAGGUCGGUCCUGAACUUCUGACCUCAGGUGAUCCACCCGACUCGGGCUCCCAAAGUGCCUGGAUUACAAGCUUGAGCCCCCAUGUGCAGCCUGAUAUGUGUAACUUCCUAUAAAUACCAUUCAGGUCAACAUGAUGAUACUGUUACUCAGAUCCCCCAUGUCUUCACUGAUGUGUUUGGUUUAUUGUUCCAAGAAUCGGAGACAGAGAGGUUAAAAUCUCCGACUAUGAUUGUGGGUUGUCUAUUGAUGUUUUUGGUCUAUUCUAAGAAUCGGAGAGAGAGAGGUUAAAAUCUCUGACGAUGAUUGUGGAUUGUCUAUUGAUGUUUUUGGUCUAUUAUUCUAAGAAUCGGAGAGAGAUUAAAAUCUCCAACUAUGAUUGUGGGUUGUCUAUUGAUGUUUUUGGUCUAUUGUUCUAAGAAUCAGAGAGAGAGAGAGGUUAAAAUCUCCGACUAUGAUUGUGGGUUGUCUUAUUGAUGUUUUUGGUCUAUUGUUCUAAGAAUUGGAGACAGAGAGGUUAAAAUCUCCGACUAUGAUUGUGGGUUGUCUAUUGAUGUUUUUGGUCUAUUGUUCUAAGAAUUGGAGAGAGAGAGGUUAAAAUCUCCGACUAUGAUUGUGGAUUGUCUAUUGCUGUUUUUGGUCUAUUGUUCUAAGAAUCGGAGAGAGAGGUUAAAAUCUCCUACUAUGAUUCUGGGUUGUCUAUUGAUGUUUUUGGUCUAUUGUUCUAAGAAUUGGAGAGAGAGAGGUUAAAAUCUCCAACUAUGAUUGUGGGUUGUCUAUAUAUGUAUGGUUUUUGCAGUCACUUUCUGCCUACUUGUGUUUUUUAUAUUUAAAGUGCAUCUUUUAGUUCAGUGUGAUGGCACAUGCCCCUAAUCCCAGCUAUUCUGGAGACUGAGGCAGGAGGAUCACUUGAGCCCAGGAGUUUGAGCAGUACUAGACUUUACCUUGGGCAAAAAGGCAAGACCCCAUCUCUUAAAAAACAAAUACAUAGACGGACAGACAGACACACACACCACAGUGCAUCUUUUGUAGACAGCAUGUAGUAAAUCUUGCUAAUUUGUCCAUUUUAGCAAUCUCUGCCUUUUAACUGGAGGGUUUAAUUCAUUAAUAUUUAAUAUAAUUAUCAUUAUGGGUAGAUGUAGGUAUGUUAAUAUUUAAUAUAAUUACUGUUAUGGGUAGAUGUAGGUAUGUUAAUCGUUUUCUGAUUGUCCCUUUGUAUACACACGCUGCCCUUUAUUUUUCAGUGAUUUUAGGUUCAUAGCAAAAUUGAGCAGUUAAGUACAAGGAGUUGUGCCUCCCCGCUGUGCCCACCCAGGCACAGCCUUACCCUCAGCAUCCC
Molecule: long non-coding RNA, 7186 nt
Filed under: Homo sapiens (human)
Lineage: Eukaryota; Metazoa; Chordata; Mammalia; Primates; Hominidae
Description: HSALNT0000305
Source: RNAcentral